CUCUCUGUCGCCUAGUCUGGUUUAGGGCGCCACAUUUGGGAUGUGGAUCACGUCAGUUCAAAUCUGACCAGAGAGACCA
RNAcentral lists this transfer RNA (79 nucleotides) under Candidatus Babelota bacterium. RNAcentral describes it as "Candidatus Dependentiae bacterium tRNA-Pro". It matches the Rfam family "tRNA". From Rfam's summary of the family: Transfer RNA (tRNA) molecules are approximately 80 nucleotides in length. Their secondary structure includes four short double-helical elements and three loops (D, anti-codon, and T loops). The record is from RNAcentral.